Perognathus longimembris pacificus (Pacific pocket mouse) is the source of this 400-nucleotide long non-coding RNA. RefSeq lists it as uncharacterized. NCBI's taxonomy places the organism in Eukaryota, Metazoa, Chordata, Mammalia, Rodentia, Heteromyidae. The record is from RefSeq and is a predicted model, not a curated record. The transcript is spliced from 3 exons.
UACAACAAUACACUGGGUUAUUUAGAGUAGAAAAGCAGAGACCAUUUCUUGUUUGCCCAAAGCUAAUGGUAGGAUAAAGUACAACUAAAAGUAAGCAAGCUAAGAAAAGAUACUGGCACAAAAAUCAGUGUAGAACCCUAAACAGCAAAGUCUGAGUCACUGUAAAGACUUACAACAUGCACAUCAGGGCGAGGUAACAUCACCUCAUUCAUUAUCAGAUGCCACACCAUAAACAGUGCGGCUCCAUGUUCACCUUGUCGACUGUUCCCACACCAGAGCCACAUGCCACUUCUGCCUCUCCGUAGUCAAGGCUCAAGGCCCAUAUGCACAGCCAGUGCCUGGCUAGCCAACAUUUAAAACUCACACUGUGUCACAUACUUUCAUGCUGGACAGGAGAAUU